RNAcentral lists this ribosomal RNA (531 nucleotides) under Fusarium sp. T14 JC-2014. RNAcentral's name for it is "eukaryotic LSU rRNA". The stretch from base 143 to 296 matches the Rfam family "5.8S ribosomal RNA". Lineage: Eukaryota; Fungi; Ascomycota; Sordariomycetes; Hypocreales; Nectriaceae. The record is from RNAcentral.
UUACAACUCCCAAACCCCUGUGAACAUCCCACUUGUUGCCUCGGCGGAUCAGCCCGCUCCCGGUAAAACGGGACGGCCCGCCAGAGGACCCCUAAACUCUGUUUCUAUAUGUAACUUCAGAGUAAAACCAUAAAUAAAUCAAAACUUUCAACAACGGAUCUCUUGGUUCUGGCAUCGAUGAAGAACGCAGCAAAAUGCGAUAAGUAAUGUGAAUUGCAGAAUUCAGUGAAUCAUCGAAUCUUUGAACGCACAUUGCGCCCGCCAGUAUUCUGGCGGGCAUGCCUGUUCGAGCGUCAUUUCAACCCUCAAGCACAGCUUGGUGUUGGGACUCGCGUUAAUUCGCGUUCCUCAAAUUGAUUGGCGGUCACGUCGAGCUUCCAUAGCGUAGUAGUAAAACCCUCGUUACUGGUAAUCGUAGCGGCCACGCCGUUAAACCCCAACUUCUGAAUGUUGACCUCGGAUCAGGUAGGAAUACCCGCUGAACUUAAGCAUAUCAAUAGCGGAGGAAACCCUGAUCAAUUUUCGAGGGGA